UUAAUUUAUAAUAUUACACCAUAUAUUUUCAUGACAACCAUAUAUUGAAAUUAGCUAGGUUUUUAAUUGAUAAUUUUGGUACUAAAGAAACAAAUUUUCUGUAAUAUAUUGAAAUAUCGAAAAAUGAAUUGAGAUUCUAUUAGUAGUAUUUGCAAUCUAUGGUUAAUGUUAUUAAAUCCAACCCGGAUCUGCGGCGGGACUUGUAAGCAUGGUCACAUAUAAACACAUAGUCACUAACCCAAUCUAAAACAUGUUAGCCAUAAACCCAGUAAAGUAAACUCAUCAGUAAAUCCGGUCAGGCGUGAUCUUCAUAGGACGGCUCAAAUGAGGCAGUUAGGCGUAGAUCCUCAUAAGGCAGGUAGUAUCGUCGGUAAUCGAAUCGUCUUUGUAAUCUUUCUCGUAAUUGUAAUAUCUAAAUAAAUCCCCGACAAAAAAAAAAAAAAGUAAACUCAUCAGUAAAACGUGCAUUAAUUGUUGAUUGAAUGAUUCAUAAUUAAAAUUCUUUAAAAUAUUAAUUAAAAUUUAUCAUUUUGUUUAAUUGUAUUUUUAUAUAUUGAAUAAAAUAUGUUAUUUAUGAUUUUUUAGCUUCUGUUUAUAUAUACUAUGUUGUCUGAAGAAAAUAUGUGGAAUUGUUAUAAAAUUUUACCAAAAUCAACUAACGUGAUACAUUAUAUGUGGAUUUAAUAUUGAUCCAUUGACCUGGUAAAGUGGUAGGUAAUCUGGUUCGCUGUUUGGGACAGGUUUAAGAGCAUCGCAAAUUCACAACUAAUAUACUGUAUGAGAUUCUUACAUGUUUUUUUAAUAUUCUUUGUAAAAAGAACAUUCUUUUAGGAGGAAUCGACACAUCUGCAAUUACAAUGACAUGGGCAAUGUCAGAACUUGCUAGAAACCCUAGAGUGAUGAAGAAACUUCAAACCGAAAUCAGAAGCCAAAUCAAGAACAAAGAAAGAAUCAGCUUCGAUGACACAGAUCAGCUCAAAUACCUGAAAAUGGUGAUCAAAGAAACAUGGAGGCUACAUCCUCCAACACCACUUCUACUUCCAAGAGAAGUAACCUCGGAGUUUGAGAUCGACGGCUACACGAUUCCCGUCAAGACACGUCUUCAUGUGAAUGUCUGGGCUAUUGGGCGUGAUCCGGAUAC
This 1141-nucleotide long non-coding RNA is filed under the name Brassica napus (rape). RNAcentral describes it as "long non-coding RNA (BNAP_LNC000943)". Lineage: Eukaryota; Viridiplantae; Streptophyta; Magnoliopsida; Brassicales; Brassicaceae. The record is from RNAcentral.